UCUCAAAGAUUAAGCCAUGCAUGUCUAAGUAUAAGCAAUUAUACCGCGAAACUGCGAAUGGCUCAUUAUAUAAGUUAUCGUUUAUUUGAUAGUACCUUACUACUUGGAUAACCGUGGUAAUUCUAGAGCUAAUACAUGCUAAAAAUCCCGACUUCGGAAGGGAUGUAUUUAUUAGAUUAAAAACCAAUGCCCUUCGGGGCUCACUGGUGAUUCAUGAUAACUCCUCGAAUCGCAUGGCCUUGUGCCGGCGAUGGUUCAUUCAAAUUUCUUCCCUAUCAACUUUCGAUGUUUGGGUAUUGGCCAAACAUGGUUGCAACGGGUAACGGAGGGUUAGGGCUCGACCCCGGAGAAGGAGCCUGAGAAACGGCUACUACAUCCAAGGAAGGCAGCAGGCGCGCAAAUUACCCAAUCCCGACACGGGGAGGUAGUGACAAUAAAUACUGAUACAGGGCUCUUUUGGGUCUUGUAAUUGGAAUGAGUACAAUUUAAAUCCCUUAACGAGGAACAAUUGGAGGGCAAGUCUGGUGCCAGCAGCCGCGGUAAUUCCAGCUCCAAUAGCGUAUAUUAAAGUUGUUGUGGUUAAAAAGCUCGUAGUUGAACCUUGGGCCUGGCUGGCCGGUCCGCCUCACCGCGUGUACUGGUCCGGCCGGGCCUUUCCCUCUGUGGAACCCCAUGCCCUUCACUGGGUGUGGCGGGGAAACAGGACUUUUACUGUGAAAAAAUUAGAGUGCUCCAGGCAGGCCUAUGCUCGAAUACAUUAGCAUGGAAUAAUAGAAUAGGACGUGUGGUUCUAUUUUGUUGGUUUCUAGGACCGCCGUAAUGAUUAAUAGGGACA
RNAcentral lists this ribosomal RNA (835 nucleotides) under Fusarium oxysporum. Its description in RNAcentral is "SSU rRNA". It matches the Rfam family "Eukaryotic small subunit ribosomal RNA", at positions 35 to 880 of the family's 1831-position model. Lineage: Eukaryota; Fungi; Ascomycota; Sordariomycetes; Hypocreales; Nectriaceae. The record is from RNAcentral.